UACGUAGGGUGCAAGCGUUAAUCGGAAUUACUGGGCGUAAAGCGUGCGCAGGCGGUGAUGUAAGUCAGAUGUGAAAGCCCCGGGCUUAACCUGGGAACUGCGUUUGAAACUGGGAGACUUGAGUGUGGCAGAGGGGGGUGGAAUUCCACGUGUAGCAGUGAAAUGCGCAGAUAUCAGGAAGAACACCUAUGGCGAAGGCAGCUCUCUGGGACGGUACUGACGCUGAGACGCGAAAGCGUGGGGAGCGAACAGG
RNAcentral lists this ribosomal RNA (253 nucleotides) under uncultured bacterium. RNAcentral describes it as "partial 16S ribosomal RNA". It matches the Rfam family "Bacterial small subunit ribosomal RNA", at positions 524 to 776 of the family's 1533-position model. The record is from RNAcentral.